RNAcentral lists this long non-coding RNA (239 nucleotides) under Homo sapiens (human). RNAcentral's name for it is "non-protein coding lnc-NIPA1-2:4". The record is from RNAcentral. Lineage: Eukaryota; Metazoa; Chordata; Mammalia; Primates; Hominidae.
AUGGUUGAAAACAGAUAUACAGAUGAUAGUGUCGAACCAAGUGGAACAAAGAAAGAAGAUCUGAAUGACAAAGAGAAAAAAGAUGAAGACGAAACUCCUGCACCUGUAUAUAGGGCCAAGUCAAUUCUGGAGACCUGGGUGUGGGUCAAGCAACCAGGUAAUCUUCUGAGUUUUGGCAUUUUGGAAAGCUUGAUCUGACGCUCCUUUUCUAAAUAACUUGGAUGGAUUAUUCGUAUUUU